GGCUGUAACAGGUCCCCUCUGACAGCCCCAGGGACAGACAAGGCAGUGUGCUCAUUUGCCCUAACGAGCUUCCCGGGUUCCCCCUGUCCUCCUCAGCCCCAGUGCUUUGUGUGAGUGCCCAGGGAGGCUGCCCCUCCUUUCCUGUGCUUCCCACCAAAAAGAAGCAGGACUUGAACCAGAAACAAUUUUCUGGGCGAGGACCAACCAGAUCCUCCCGCCUACCUGGGGCACUAACCCCGAUGCCACCACCGGGCCGUGCUUUGCUCCCUGACCACAUCAUGGUGCAGUGAGAGCUGCUGCUGCCUCAGUGUUGUUUUAAUCCAAGGAUGUUCGUUGUGACAGCUGCAGCCCGAGAGGCAGCCGCGGAAAACGACUGCAGGAAAAGGGCAGGGAAGAAGCUACCAAAACUUCCCAGAAAUGGGGGUCGGAUCCUGCUGCCACCAACAUACCCGGAUUUCCCUGGGAGGAGCAGCACCCAGCCGGCACGGGGGGAGCACGAUCACAUAAAUACCAGCCCUGAUUGAACCGCAGAGGGCACGACAUUUACCGACAGGAUGUAACCUUUCCGUACAUCUCCUGCAAGUGAUUAGCGCCGAGCACGCUCCGUGCCAUUUAGCCAUCACCACUGAAUGACAAUCAGAUUAAGUCAUGACAGAGCUAAUAAAAAAAAAAGUGAACACAGCUUGUGGAGAGCACCAGACAGUGCUCCCCAGCCUGACCACAAGUGAAGAACAGCAGCAUGGAGACAAGCAGUGGUGGGAGCAAGAGCAUCAGGGACUGAGCUUGCUUAAACAGAACAGCCAUGGACCAGGGAAUCGAUGGCUGCCACUGCCACCAGCCAUGGACCUGGUGUCUUUCUCCUACAGCACGGGGCUGUCACUAGCUCUGCCUUUGCACAUCUCCCCAGUUUUAAGAGCAGAGAGGUCUACAGGACAUAGACACCCCCAGCUCCUCAGCAAAGGCACAAGCUUUGGGAAGUGACCCCACAGCAUUGUGUCCAGCACUUCCAGGGGACACACAUCCUCCACCUCCCUCCACAGCCUGGGAACAAAGCAUUGGUUGGAGAGCACAUGCUCUGCUUCCAGAGCUGGCCCAGCCCACAAAACACACAAAACACAGCCUCAAGUCACAAAUCACACUGCUGCCUCAGCCUUCCCUCCAUCCCACAUGCACCCAGAUCGCACAGGUUCCUCUCCAGGAGACGUUCAGUACCAGGCCACACAGGAUUAAACUUCCCAGCCUCAAAAACAGCAUUUAAACCCCAAGAACGGGGACAGAGGGGAAGGACAGCAUGCCUCCAGACAAAGCCAGGUGCCUGCAUUUGGACUAUCUCACCUGAAUCCUUAUUAAAGCAAUCCAAGUCCCCAGCUGUACCAAAUUAGAACCUGGACUGCCUCCCGCAGCUGGGUGCUCCCUGGGUCCGGACAGCUUCGGCAGAGGAUGCCUCAAAGUCAGCGACCGACUCUGCUGAAAUAACCCUGCCUGCAAACGCUUCACCUUCUUUUUUUUUUUUUUUUUCCCCUUUCCGCCGCAGUUUUGCUCAGAGGUCUGGCCAGAUUCACGGCUCUCCAAUCCCUUUAAUAAAUCAUCUCCUCACCACGCCCA
Molecule: long non-coding RNA, 1605 nt
Filed under: Anser brachyrhynchus (Pink-footed goose)
Lineage: Eukaryota; Metazoa; Chordata; Aves; Anseriformes; Anatidae
Description: lncRNA (ENSABRG00000011622.1)
Source: RNAcentral